RNAcentral lists this transfer RNA (68 nucleotides) under Candidatus Nitrotoga sp. Its description in RNAcentral is "tRNA-Leu". The record is from RNAcentral. RNAcentral also lists the same sequence under 1 other name. Lineage: Bacteria; Pseudomonadati; Pseudomonadota; Betaproteobacteria; Nitrosomonadales; Gallionellaceae.
GCCGAAGUGGUAAGAAAAUCCCUCGACUCGAAAUGGUCGUGCCGGUUCAAUUCCGGCCUCGGGCACCA